Molecule: ribosomal RNA, 554 nt
Filed under: Prymnesium parvum
Lineage: Eukaryota; Haptophyta; Prymnesiales; Prymnesiaceae
Description: partial Bacterial large subunit ribosomal RNA
Rfam family: Bacterial large subunit ribosomal RNA
Source: RNAcentral
CCAUCAUUUAAAGAGUGCGUAAUAGCUCACUAGUCGAGUGACCCUGCGCCGAAAAUGUACCGGGGCUAAAACAAUUUACCGAAGCUGUGGAUACCUUUAUAGGUAUGGUAGGAGAGCGUUCUAUGUGCGAAGAAGGUGUACCGUGAGGAGUGCUGGAACGCAUAGAAGUGAGAAUGCCGGUAUGAGUAGCGAAAGACAGGUGAGAAUCCUGUCCACCGUAAGACUAAGGUUUCCAGGGGAAGGCUCGUCCGCCCUGGGUUAGUCGGGACCUAAGGAGAGACCGAAAGGUGUAUCCGAUGGACAACAGGUUGAUAUUCCUGUACUAGAGUAUGUAGUGAUGGAGGGACGCAGUAGGCUAACUAAAGCAGACGAAUGGAAGAGUCUGUCUAAGCAGUGAGGUGUGAAUUGAGUUAAAUGCUUAAUUCUAUAACAUUGAGCUGUGAUGGGGAGCGAAGUUUAGUAGCGAAGUUAGUGACGUCACACUGCCAAGAAAAGCUUCUAGCGUUUAAACAUACUCUACCCGUACCGCAAACCGACACAGGUAGUCGAGGCGA